Molecule: long non-coding RNA, 1673 nt
Filed under: Rhinopithecus bieti (black snub-nosed monkey)
Lineage: Eukaryota; Metazoa; Chordata; Mammalia; Primates; Cercopithecidae
Description: lncRNA (ENSRBIG00000045980.1)
Source: RNAcentral
GAAAAAUUAGAUAAAGCUAUGAAUAAUUAUGUUAGAGAUUAUAUUGAGGGACUAGGGUUACAUGUUGUGUUCACUGAAUCAUUUACAAUGAACAUAAACAUUUAUAAUCACAAAAAAGGUAUUUCUGAAAAUCAGUAUCUGUUACAAUCAUUCAAAUGCAAUGUCAUUUAUUUAUAUUGCAUUAUUUAGUCUAUUGUUUUCUCAUUUUUUAAAAAAAAUAGCAAUUAAAGCAAAGAGGAAAUCUUUAUGGUUAAUAUUUAAAAUUUUAUCUUUAGAAAUAAAAAAGUGGUUCAUCAUACAUAAAAGAAAAAACAAAUUUAAUCUGUAAGAGUACAUUAUCUUUAAUUUUCUUAAGUCAAAAACAGUUUACAUAUUAGCAUCAGUGUAAACAUCCUCUCUGACGUCGCAAUGUUAAGACUUCUGUUGCCUUGGUGCCAUCUCAUUCUGACCCUGGGCUCAUUGGCCCUUACACUUUAAUCUGAACAAUGGAACCAGAGACAUCAGCACUGUCCAGGCUCUCUGAUGAUCUUCAUCCUUCGCCAGUGGCAAUUCAUGAAAUAAAUACAGAGUUUUCUGAGGAAAGUAUAAUAUACUCAGACCUCAAAGUUCGUUGUUCUUCAAAUACCCAGAACGUAAAAAUAACUAAAACUUCGAAAACAAAAGUGUCUCCAUGGUGCAUUGCUGCUGUGAUAUUUGCCUUCCUUUAUAUAAUCACUCUGGUAAUAGUUGGAGCUAUGGUAGCUAAGAUUCAUUGUCUUGAGGAGAUCCUGCAUGAGACAACCAUUGAGACUGCACAUUGCAACAUAAUAUCACAAAGCAAAGGUUGACAGCCUAAUGCACCAGGAUAGAAAUAAAGACAGAGAUCAGGACAGAAGUUGAAUUCCUAGGAAAUCUGAGCAGGACGGACAAGGUAUGUACAAUAAGUGAUCCUGCCAGUUGGUCUUCGAGAAAACAAAAGGACUACUAUACUCCUCACUUUGUUAGAGCUGAAAACCAUAAAGCUAGAGUGAUGGCAGCUCCUGUGAACUCCGAUGAAACCACAAAGGAAGUCAUUGGGUCAAGAAAUGCAUUACGAGCCACCGUGAGGCACGACCACCCUUCUGCUUUGCAGAGUUCAGAGUAAGAGUCCCUUCCUGUGUGAAAGGCACUGACUGCUACAGCCUCCAGGACACCUUCUCACUGCAUAUGUGUGAUAAAUGUGAGAUUCAUUAUUUUGUUCUUUGUAGAAAAUUAAGUAUGAAAUAAUUUCUUACUUUUUUGUCAAGUGUUUUCCAGGUUGCUUCUCAAUAAAUUCUUUUUUAAAAAAUUGACGAUUUCCCCAAGAGUUUCUCCACUGGUUGCAAACCACGUCUUUAAUUUUCUUGGAAGCAUUUUGAUAUUAUGAUUAAGGACACAAGUUUGAUACCAGAUAAGGCAACAUAUUAGUUUGAGUUGUGUCACUUAUUAUAUUUAUAACUUUAGUCCAGUUGAAUUCCCUAAUCUACUUUUUCCACAUCUGUAAAAUGAAGGGGAUAAAAGUAUCCUCAUCACAAGGUUUUUCUAGGGAUUGAAUGAGAAAACAUUGUCAACUGUUGUUAUUGUUUCUUGUGUCUUCUUUGUUUGCAAUUUAAUACUCAUUCUCCUUUGGUGCAGUUUUGUGAUUUCUUUUUCUUUCAUGAAAUACUUUAUUUAUA